Molecule: ribosomal RNA, 255 nt
Filed under: uncultured bacterium
Lineage: Bacteria
Description: partial 16S ribosomal RNA
Rfam family: Bacterial small subunit ribosomal RNA
Source: RNAcentral
UACGUAGGGCGCAAGCGUUGUCCGGAAUUAUUGGGCGUAAAGAGCUCGUAGGCGGUUUGUCGCGUCUGCUGUGAAAACCUAAGGCUCAACCUUGGGCUUGCAGUGGGUACGGGCAGACUAGAGUGCGGUAGGGGUGACUGGAAUUCCUGGUGUAGCGGUGGAAUGCGCAGAUAUCAGGAGGAACACCGAUGGCGAAGGCAGGUCACUGGGCCGCAACUGACGCUGGAGGAAGCGAAAGCAUGGGGAGCGAACAGG